RNAcentral lists this transfer RNA (72 nucleotides) under Eulabeornis castaneoventris. Its description in RNAcentral is "tRNA-Val". Lineage: Eukaryota; Metazoa; Chordata; Aves; Gruiformes; Rallidae. The record is from RNAcentral.
CAAGGCGUAGCUAUAAUGCCAAAGCAUUCAGCUUACACCUGAAAGAUGUCUACCCACCCUAGACCGCCUUGA